Molecule: ribosomal RNA, 252 nt
Filed under: uncultured bacterium
Lineage: Bacteria
Description: partial 16S ribosomal RNA
Rfam family: Bacterial small subunit ribosomal RNA
Source: RNAcentral
UACAGAGGGGGCAAGCGUUAUUCGGAAUUAUUGGGCGUAAAGGGCGCGUAGGCGGCCUGGCAAGUGGAAGGUGAAAUCCCUCGGCUUAACCGAGGAACUGCCUCCCAAACUGCCUGGCUUGAGACCAGGAGAGGUGAGUGGAAUUCCCAGUGUAGCGGUGAAAUGCGUAGAUAUUGGGAGGAACACCAGUGGCGAAGGCGGCUCACUGGACUGGUACUGACGCUGAGGCGCGAAAGCGUGGGGAGCAAACGG